Molecule: non-coding RNA, 303 nt
Organism: Cyanistes caeruleus (blue tit)
Lineage: Eukaryota; Metazoa; Chordata; Aves; Passeriformes; Paridae
Source: RefSeq, a predicted model, not a curated record
CUGUGAGGGGCAAGUUGAGCACUCAGUUCCAUGUUUAAGACUCAUUAAUAUUCUCUUAACAGAAACAAAAUAAACAGUGACAAGGAUUGUGGAAUGCCUGCUCAGUUUCCUCAGGACAAAAGAAAGAGAGGAUAUUGUGAAUGUUGUGGGAAGAAAUAUGAAGAUCUGCAAACACAUCUUGAAAGUGAGCGGCACCAAAAUUUUGCACAAAGCACACAGUAUAAAGUUGUUGAUGAUAUAAUCUCAAAGUUAGUUUAUGAGUUUGUUGCAUACAAAGAUGAUGAUACAGGAAAAAUAAAAGGG